This is a long non-coding RNA of Macrobrachium nipponense, 356 nucleotides long. RefSeq lists it as uncharacterized. Lineage: Eukaryota; Metazoa; Arthropoda; Malacostraca; Decapoda; Palaemonidae. The record is from RefSeq and is a predicted model, not a curated record. The transcript has 3 exons.
GAUUCCUGGCGGAGCCUCAUUUAGGAAGGACUUGGAGCGACUGAAGGCUUCUCCUGAAGACUUCGACGGCUUCAGCAGAAAUCAUGCAAAUGGAGACGACUUGAAAAGGCGCUGCUGCUGCUUCUGCUGCUGAUGCCUCGAGUGGAGAGUUACAAGGAUGAGGAUGUCUCAGAGACUUGUUAUAAUUAGUCCAUCCUCCUUAGAGGAGACAUCGCAUAGACAUUAAAUGUUUCAUCAUUCAUUUUUCCUCAUAGUUCACAUUCAGCCAGCCGCUCAGCGGACAGCGCCUUCAGCUAACCUGUUGUCCAAAGCUCCCGCUAGUUGUUCGACUUUGCUCGACGAUAUGACCGGAAUCG